Long non-coding RNA from Fukomys damarensis (Damara mole-rat), 313 nucleotides. RefSeq lists it as uncharacterized. Lineage: Eukaryota; Metazoa; Chordata; Mammalia; Rodentia; Bathyergidae. The transcript is spliced from 4 exons. The record is from RefSeq and is a predicted model, not a curated record.
CUCAGGCCUGGAACUGUAUUUCCGCCCUUCCUGCCCGCCUACCAGUUUUACGCCAGCCUUUAUUUUUGGACACUGUGUCUCCCCAGCGGAAGUUUUCCAGAACUUUAUUGGAUUUUCUUCACGUACAAAGCCCUGUGUAAUAACAUUGAAUGGACAAUUGCAGCAACUAUAACCUGCGAAGAGCAAAGCAAACCUAGAGAAAGAAGGCUUGGGUCACUACUGCAGGAUGAGCAUCCAAUGGUCUCCGGGACUGAUAUACAUUGAUUGUGAGAAAAGGAGAAGAGAUUAAAACAUAAAGAGUUCACAAGCCCAC